This 1437-nucleotide ribosomal RNA is filed under the name uncultured organism. RNAcentral describes it as "SSU rRNA". It matches the Rfam family "Bacterial small subunit ribosomal RNA". The record is from RNAcentral.
UUUUUACAGGCUUAACACAUGCAAGUCGAGGGGCAGCAUGGUCUUAGCUUGCUAAGGCCGAUGGCGACCGGCGCACGGGUGAGUAACACGUAUCCAACCUGCCGUCUACUCUUGGACAGCCUUCUGAAAGGAAGAUUAAUACAAGAUGGCAUCAUGAGUCCGCAUGUUCACAUGAUUAAAGGUAUUCCGGUAGACGAUGGGGAUGCGUUCCAUUAGAUAGUAGGCGGGGUAACGGCCCACCUAGUCUUCGAUGGAUAGGGGUUCUGAGAGGAAGGUCCCCCACAUUGGAACUGAGACACGGUCCAAACUCCUACGGGAGGCAGCAGUGAGGAAUAUUGGUCAAUGGGCGAGAGCCUGAACCAGCCAAGUAGCGUGAAGGAUGACUGCCCUAUGGGUUGUAAACUUCUUUUAUAAAGGAAUAAAGUCGGGUAUGGAUACCCGUUUGCAUGUACUUUAUGAAUAAGGAUCGGCUAACUCCGUGCCAGCAGCCGCGGUAAUACGGAGGAUCCGAGCGUUAUCCGGAUUUAUUGGGUUUAAAGGGAGCGUAGAUGGAUGUUUAAGUCAGUUGUGAAAGUUUGCGGCUCAACCGUAAAAUUGCAGUUGAUACUGGAUAUCUUGAGUGCAGUUGAGGCAGGCGGAAUUCGUGGUGUAGCGGUGAAAUGCUUAGAUAUCACGAAGAACUCCGAUUGCGAAGGCAGCCUGCUAAGCUGCAACUGACAUUGAGGCUCGAAAGUGUGGGUAUCAAACAGGAUUAGAUACCCUGGUAGUCCACACGGUAAACGAUGAAUACUCGCUGUUUGCGAUAUACUGCAAGCGGCCAAGCGAAAGCGUUAAGUAUUCCACCUGGGGAGUACGCCGGCAACGGUGAAACUCAAAGGAAUUGACGGGGGCCCGCACAAGCGGAGGAACAUGUGGUUUAAUUCGAUGAUACGCGAGGAACCUUACCCGGGCUUAAAUUGCAGAUGAAUUACGGUGAAAGCCGUAAGCCGCAAGGCAUCUGUGAAGGUGCUGCAUGGUUGUCGUCAGCUCGUGCCGUGAGGUGUCGGCUUAAGUGCCAUAACGAGCGCAACCCUUGUUGUCAGUUACUAACAGGUUCCGCUGAGGACUCUGACAAGACUGCCAUCGUAAGAUGUGAGGAAGGUGGGGAUGACGUCAAAUCAGCACGGCCCUUACGUCCGGGGCUACACACGUGUUACAAUGGGGGGUACAGAGGGCCGCUACCACGCGAGUGGAUGCCAAUCCCCAAAACCUCUCUCAGUUCGGACUGGAGUCUGCAACCCGACUCCACGAAGCUGGAUUCGCUAGUAAUCGCGCAUCAGCCACGGCGCGGUGAAUACGUUCCCGGGCCUUGUACACACCGCCCGUCAAGCCAUGGGAGCCGGGGGUACCUGAAGUGCGUAACCGCGAGGAGCGCCCUAGGGUAAAACUGGUGACUGG